Molecule: ribosomal RNA, 301 nt
Filed under: uncultured bacterium
Lineage: Bacteria
Description: partial 16S ribosomal RNA
Rfam family: Bacterial small subunit ribosomal RNA
Source: RNAcentral
CAGCAGCCGCGGGAAUACGAAGGGGGCUAGCGUUGUUCGGAUUUACUGGGCGUAAAGCGCACGUAGGCGGACUUUUAAGUCAGGGGUGAAAUCCCGGGGCUCAGCCCCGGAACUGCCUUUGAUACUGGAAGUCUUGAGUAUGGUAGAGGUGAGUGGAAUUCCGAGUGUAGAGGUGAAAUCCGUAGAUAUUCGGAGGAACACCAGUGGCGAAGGCGGCUCACUGGACCAUUACUGACGCUGAGGUGCGAAAGCGUGGGGAGCAAACAGGAUUAGAGACCCCCGUAGUCCCUGUCUCUUAUAA